Molecule: regulatory RNA element, 66 nt
Organism: Pseudomonas sp. FeS53a
Lineage: Bacteria; Pseudomonadati; Pseudomonadota; Gammaproteobacteria; Pseudomonadales; Pseudomonadaceae
Source: Rfam
GGGUUGAGCGGCAUGGAUGCCGCGAGAGGCGCGAUCUGGCCAUGGAUGGCCAGUCGCGCCGUGCCC